Molecule: ribosomal RNA, 813 nt
Filed under: Melanoleuca sp.
Lineage: Eukaryota; Fungi; Basidiomycota; Agaricomycetes; Agaricales; Pluteaceae
Description: partial large subunit ribosomal RNA
Rfam family: Eukaryotic large subunit ribosomal RNA
Source: RNAcentral
UCUGGCAGUCUCUGGCUGUCCGAGUUGUAAUCUAGAGAAGUGUUAUCCGCGCUGGACCAUGUACAAGUCUCCUGGAACGGAGCGUCAUAGAGGGUGAGAAUCCCGUCUUUGACAUGGACUACCAGGGCUUUGUGAUGCGCUCUCAAAGAGUCGAGUUGUUUGGGAAUGCAGCUCAAAAUGGGUGGUAAAUUCCAUCUAAAGCUAAAUAUUGGCGAGAGACCGAUAGCGAACAAGUACCGUGAGGGAAAGAUGAAAAGAACUUUGGAAAGAGAGUUAAACAGUACGUGAAAUUGUUGAAAGGGAAACGCUUGAAGUCAGUCGCAUUGGCCAGGGAUCAACCUUACAUUUUGUUGGGUGUACUUUCUGGUCAAUGGGUCAGCAUCAAUUUUGACUGUUGGAAAAAGGUCAGGGGAAUGUGGCAUCUUCGGAUGUGUUAUAGCCCUUGGUUGUAUACAGCAGUUGGGAUUGAGGAACUCAGCACGCCGCAAGGCCGGGUUUUUAACCACGUACGUGCUUAGGAUGCUGGCAUAAUGGCUUUAAUCGACCCGUCUUGAAACACGGACCAAGGAGUCUAACAUGCCUGCGAGUGUUUGGGUGGAAAACCCAUGCGCGUAAUGAAAGUGAAAGUUGAGAUCUCUGUCGUGGAGAGCAUCGACGCCCGGACCAGACCUUUUGUGACGGUCCCGCGGUAGAGCAUGUAUGUUGGGACCCGAAAGAUGGUGAACUAUGCCUGAAUAGGGUGAAGCCAGAGGAAACUCUGGUGGAGGCUCGUAGCGAUUCUGACGUGCAAAUCGAUCGUCGAAUUUGGGUAUA